UACGUAGGGGGCGAGCGUUGUCCGGAUUCAUUGGGCGUAAAGAGCUCGUAGGCGGUUCAGUAAGUCGGGUGUGAAAUCUCCGUGCUCAACACGGAGCGGCCACCUGAUACUGCUGUGACUCGAGUCCGGUAGGGGAGUGUGGAAUUCCCGGUGUAGCGGUGAAAUGCGCAGAUAUCGGGAGGAACACCAGUAGCGAAGGCGGCACUCUGGGCCGUGACUGACGCUCAUGCACGAAAGCGUGGGGAGCAAACAGG
RNAcentral lists this ribosomal RNA (254 nucleotides) under uncultured bacterium. Its description in RNAcentral is "partial 16S ribosomal RNA". It matches the Rfam family "Bacterial small subunit ribosomal RNA", at positions 524 to 776 of the family's 1533-position model. The record is from RNAcentral.